RNAcentral lists this unclassified non-coding RNA (254 nucleotides) under rhizosphere metagenome. RNAcentral describes it as "partial ribosomal RNA internal transcribed spacer region". The record is from RNAcentral.
GUAGGUGAACCUGCGGAAGGAUCAUUAUUGAAUGAACUUGAUGUGGGUUGUAGCUGGCUCUCUAGGGAGCAUGUGCACGCCCCGUCAUUUUUAUAUUUCCACCUGUGCACCUUUUGUAGACCCAGAAGGCUUGAGCAAUCGAGUCGUUUGGGCCUAUGUUUAUCAUAUACCCCAUAGUAUGUAUUAGAAUGUAUCAGUGGGCUUUGUGCCUAUAAAACACUAUACAACUUUCAGCAACGGAUCUCUUGGCUCUC